UACGUAGGGGGCAAGCGUUGUCCGGAUUUAUUGGGCGUAAAGAGCGUGUAGGCGGCCGUACAGGUCAGCUGUGAAAACUCGAGGCUCAACCUCGAGACGUCGGUUGAAACCGUACGGCUAGAGUCCGGAAGAGGAGAGUGGAAUUCCCGGUGUAGCGGUGAAAUGCGCAGAUAUCGGGAAGAACACCCGUGGCGAAGGCGGCUCUCUGGGACGGUACUGACGCUGAGACGCGAAAAGCGUGGGGGAGCGAACAGG
This 255-nucleotide ribosomal RNA is filed under the name uncultured bacterium. Its description in RNAcentral is "partial 16S ribosomal RNA". It matches the Rfam family "Bacterial small subunit ribosomal RNA", at positions 524 to 776 of the family's 1533-position model. The record is from RNAcentral.